RNAcentral lists this ribosomal RNA (327 nucleotides) under uncultured eukaryote. RNAcentral describes it as "partial 18S ribosomal RNA". It matches the Rfam family "Eukaryotic small subunit ribosomal RNA", at positions 1470 to 1796 of the family's 1831-position model. The record is from RNAcentral.
CCCUUAGAUGUUCUGGGCCGCACGCGCGCUACACUGAUUCAUGAAACAAGUUUUGUCCUUGGCUGAUAGGCCUGGGUAAUCUUUGAACGUGAAUCGUGAUGGGGAUAGAUGAUUGCAAUUAUUCAUCUUCAACGAGGAAUUCCUAGUAAACGCAAGUCAUCAGCUUGCAUUGAUUACGUCCCUGCCCUUUGUACACACCGCCCGUCGCACCUACCGAUUGAAUGGUCCGGUGAAAUCUUCGGAUCUGAGAGAUGUCUGAUUAAUUUCGGACGCCUUUUGGAAAAGUUGUUUAAACCUUACCAUUUAGAGGAAGGUGAAGUCGUAACA